CCGAUACAGACAUCGAAAAUGUCAAAUAAAUGUGAAACAGAAGAUACAGUAGAGUAUCAUAAGAUCGCCAAAUCCAUAUUCUGAAUACACAGUACAUCCACGAAAUAUAAACUUUUCAAAUAAAAAUACCACAUGCAGAUUAUGCCAGUAUCUGGAUACCAGGCUUUUGCUGCCCUCGGAGACUUCUUAUAUAAAAACAAUAAGCUGUUGUCUAAUCUAAUAUAAGAAAAUAGGUCUAGUCUAUAUAUAAUAGUUAUCUAACUAUUUGCUAUUGUAAAGCUAAUAACGCUUCAUCUGGUGGUUAUUUAAGAGAAGGGCGGCGUUGAGUUUGGAUAGAUCCAGGAAGACUUUGUAUGACCACGCAUUCAGAUUUUCAACAUUGAAAAUUCUCUCAUCGAGCAUAUUCUGCAUUGUAUUAAACCAAACAUGUUUUUUCUAUCCAGUUGUAACACUAGUUGUAAGAUCCAUACUUCUGUUUAAACUUUGAUUCAUUAAUAUGUUUCAGAGUUUAGUGUGAGUUCAUCAGCCGAACUAGUAUACAUUAAUUAUUGUUCAGGGACAAGAUGAAGCCGACUCCGGCUAUUGUAAAGACUAAUUCUU
This 600-nucleotide long non-coding RNA is filed under the name Mytilus galloprovincialis (Mediterranean mussel). Lineage: Eukaryota; Metazoa; Mollusca; Bivalvia; Mytilida; Mytilidae. The record is from RNAcentral.